GUGGGCAUAGCUCAGUGGUAGAGCGCAUGCUUAGCAUGCACGAGGUCCUGGGUUCAAUCCCUAGUACCUCCA
RNAcentral lists this transfer RNA (72 nucleotides) under Camelus bactrianus (Bactrian camel). It matches the Rfam family "tRNA". Rfam says of the family: Transfer RNA (tRNA) molecules are approximately 80 nucleotides in length. Their secondary structure includes four short double-helical elements and three loops (D, anti-codon, and T loops). Lineage: Eukaryota; Metazoa; Chordata; Mammalia; Artiodactyla; Camelidae. The record is from Rfam by way of RNAcentral. RNAcentral also lists the same sequence under 2 other names.